This 714-nucleotide ribosomal RNA is filed under the name uncultured bacterium. Its description in RNAcentral is "bacterial SSU rRNA". It matches the Rfam family "Bacterial small subunit ribosomal RNA", at positions 64 to 764 of the family's 1533-position model. The record is from RNAcentral.
GAGGGGCAGCGGGGAGUGAGGCUUGCCUUACUCUGCCGGCGACCGGCGCACGGGUGAGUAACACGUAUGCAACCUACCCUUUACAGCGGGAUAACCGGAAGAAAUUUCGCCUAAUACCGCAUAUACUCCUUGGGAGGCAUCUUCCGAGGGGGAAAGAAUUUCGGUGAAGGAUGGGCAUGCGUCGCAUUAGUUAGUUGGCGGUGUAAUGGACCACCAAGAACGACGAUGCGUAUGGGUUCUGAACAGGAACGGUCCCCCACACUGGUACUGAGACACGGACCAGACUCCUACGGGAGGCCUCAGUGAGGAAUAUUGGUCAAUGGCCGAGAGGCUGAACCAGCCAAGUCGCGUGAGGGAAGAAUGUCCUAUGGAUUGUAAACCUCUUUUGUCAGGGAGCAAAGUCACCCACGUGUGGGUGUUGGAGAGUACCUGAAGAAAAAGCAUCGGCUAACUCCGUGCCAGCAGCCGCGGUAAUACGGAGGAUGCGAGCGUUAUCCGGAUUUAUUGGGUUUAAAGGGUGCGUAGGCGGGUUAUCAAGUCAGCGGUAAAAUCGUGGAGCUCAACUCCAUCCAGCCGUUGAAACUGAUGAUCUUGAGUGGGCGAGAAGUAUGCGGAAUGCGUGGUGUAGCGGUGAAAUGCAUAGAUAUCUGGAAGAACUCCGAUUGCGAAGGCAGCAUACCGGCGCCCGACUGACGCUGAAGCACGAAAGCGUGG